Long non-coding RNA from Triplophysa dalaica, 2741 nucleotides. RefSeq lists it as uncharacterized. The record is from RefSeq and is a predicted model, not a curated record. Lineage: Eukaryota; Metazoa; Chordata; Actinopteri; Cypriniformes; Nemacheilidae. The transcript is spliced from 10 exons.
GGAGGGAUGUCACAUGUGACGGAUGUGAACGCAGACAAAUCAACAGCAAACAUCGGCAAACUCUGCAAGGCCGAGUCUCAGACUCUCAUGUCGUGGAGACGCUGUGUCUUUCGUUAAAAAAAACGGCUGCUUCACGAACGCUUUGGUUAAAAGUGGGGCUAUUCCAACCAUUAAAACUUUACAAGGACAGUCUGGCGCUUCUGAUUUGCAGCCUUGGAUAAGAACAGAUAUUCAGAUGAGUCUACAGCGCUGGAAUCUACAGCUGUGGAGCAGGCGGAGGAGGAGGAGACCAUGUGUCACAUUUGACGGAGAUGUGAACGCAGACAAAUCAGCAGCAACCAUCGGCAAACUCUGCAAGGCCGAUUCUCAGACUCAGACUCAGACGCUGUGUCUUUCGUUGCAAAAAGAAAGACCCUUUGUUUGCCCUGCCAUCAUAACACAACUGAAAAGGAAUGGUUCAAUUUUAUUUACAAUACUGUUCCAGAAAAGUACAAACCGAAUGUUCAAGUUUGUGCAGCUCAUUUCCAGACGACUGCUUCACGAACGCUUUGGUUAAAAGUGGGGCUAUUCCAACCAUAAAUACUUUACAAGGACAGUCUGGCGCUUCCGAUUCGCAGCCUGAGCAGACGGCUGGGGGGGAUGUCACAUGUGACGGGGAUGUGAACGCAGACAAAUCAGCAGCAAACAUCGGCAAACUCUGCAAGGCCGAGUCUCUGACUCUCAUGUCACUUAGGCGGCCCCUCGAAAGAAGAUUUCGAAGAGGAGACCACGACCCCGUCAGCAGCUGCGGCAGAAGCGACCACUGCUAGCCAUCGAACCACCUCCCGAGGGGAAGAAGAUGCAGAUCACACCCCUAGUCCCCCCGUCACUGUCCCUGGGUGCUUGGCUCAAGUGGUAAAUGUUUAGAGUUUCGAGGCAUCCUCUCAACCUUAGUCAGAGGCAGGGAUGCUCCCGUACUGUGGGCCGAGGUCGCCAGCCUGGUUACGAGUCCGACUCACUAACCAUUGUCACUUUCGAUGGUUCGGGGACCCCGUGUCGAGACCGUUCUCCAGACGUGGACAACUAUUCUGAAGACGAUGACAGUUAUUCUUCAGCAGUGUUGGGGGUAACGCGUUACAAGUAACGUGCGUUACGUAAUAACAUUACUUUUCUGGAGUAACGAGUAAAGUAAUGCACUACUUUUUAAAUUUACACAUUAAUAUUUGAGUUACUUUUUACACAUUUAGAAAUAUCAUCAGCAAAAUCUCUGUGACAGGGAAAAGGCCGGGAGUCGUGCUGCCCGAUCGUAAAACCUUUGCAAGCUUUUUGGAUAAUGCAUAUAUGGAAAUGGAGACCGAACUAAAGAAAACUUUUGCCGACUUGGAAUAUGUUUCAACCACUGCAGAUCUAUGGACUGCUCAGAAUAAAAGUUUUCUGGGAAUUACAGUACACUGGAUAGAUCCUGCUACUCUGCAUCGGAAAAAAGCUGCAAUCGCCUGCAGACGAUUUCGUGGGAGACACACGUACGAUACCAUCGCAGCGGAGUUAGAGCAAAUUCACAUCUCAUAUGCUCUUUGUGGUAAGAUAACUGCCACGGUCACUGACAAUGGCUCGAACUUUGUCAAAGCUUUCAGAAUGUUUCAAGCUGACGAUGAUAAUGAAACCGAGAAUGAUGAAGACGAGGUCAUAUUUACGGACUUGCACGCAGUUUUACGAGAUGACAUUGAGUCCAGCGAACGGAGGUCAGUGAUGAUGCCGUUCAGGGUCAGGUCAGCACUUCUCAUUAUGUCAAUCAUCACAACAAAAAUCCACUGCAGUUUUAUUAUUGUAUUGUAUGUUUCUGUCAGAAUAAAUACUGUCUUGUGUGUUAACAGUGGAUAUGAACAGAAGUUCAGAUGCGUCUAUAGCGCUUCACUCUACAGCUGUUGAGCAGACGGCUGGGGGGGAUGUCACAUGUGACGGAGAUGUGAACGCAGACAAAUCAACAGCAACCAUCGGCAAACUCUGCAAGGUUGAGUCUCAGACUCCUAGGCGGCCCCUCGGAAGAAGACGUGGAAGAGGAGACCACGACCCCGUCAGCAGCUGCGGCAGAAGCGGCCACUGCUAGCCAUCGAACGAAUCGAUCUUCCUUUUAUACCCGUAUGUACGGGGCGGAGACUGGCGAGGGCGGGCCAUUGGCCAAUCCCCAUUGGCAUUUUAGUUUUAUCUCGGAGAUGAUAGGUUCUCAGAACACAACACAAUGUCGAGAGACUGACUGAAGGGGAACUGAAGUUAGUUUCCCAAACAUUCACACUGUUCAUUGGUUCAGUGUAAAGUGGUUUUCCUUUAACAGGUGACAGCAUCUAUUAACAAUCUCCAACUGCGAUAAUACAGACUUUUCCAAAUGCUGAAUAAUCUGACAAACCUGUUUGUUUAAUUUGUCUCAAUCUACCAUGAACAUAUGCAAGACGUUUAUGAUCAACCAUUGAAAUUUCAUCAAUUAUAAAUAGUUGCAGUUUUCCACGUUUUGCUCUCAAGGAAUAUUUUUUUUUCAUUUCAAAGUGGUACGUAUGGCAGUGAAGCGUUUGUUCCGAUAGAGAAAGUGCUGUGGAUUGUAGCAGCCUUUAUAUUAUAAGCAGCAACACCAGUGGGCGCUGUUAACAGCACAUGUGUCUCAUCUGGAUUCUCUGACAGCUUUGAAAGGAUGCGACUGCUUUCAUUAUUGUCUGCAUGUUCAGCUUGAAUGCUACCAGUCAGAAUAAAAACAACUUUUGUUGAGCCCG